RNAcentral lists this ribosomal RNA (392 nucleotides) under uncultured bacterium. RNAcentral describes it as "partial 16S ribosomal RNA". It matches the Rfam family "Bacterial small subunit ribosomal RNA", at positions 338 to 727 of the family's 1533-position model. The record is from RNAcentral.
CCUACGGGAGGCAGCAGUGAGGAAUAUUGGUCAAUGGCCGCAAGCCUGAACCAGCCAAGCCGCGUGAGGGACGACGGUCCUAUGCAUUGUAAACUUCUUUUGUCGGGGGACAAAAUCCGCCUCGCGUGCCUUACCGAGAGUACCCGAAGAAAAAGCAUCGGCUAACUCCGUGCCAGCAGCCGCGGUAAUACGGAGGAUGCGAGCGUUAUCCGGAUUUAUUGGGUGUAAAGGGUGAGUAGGCGGGAUAGUAAGUCAGCUGGGAAAUCCCCUGGCUUAACCCUAGGAGAGCAUUUGAAACUGGUUGUCUAGAGAUGGGGAGAGGUAGGUGGAAUGCGUGGUGUAGGGGUGAAAUGCGUAGAGAUUGAGAAGAACUCUGAUUGCGAAGGCAGCAU